RNAcentral lists this ribosomal RNA (151 nucleotides) under Balantidion pellucidum. Its description in RNAcentral is "5.8S ribosomal RNA". It matches the Rfam family "5.8S ribosomal RNA". Rfam says of the family: 5.8S ribosomal RNA (5.8S rRNA) is a component of the large subunit of the eukaryotic ribosome. Lineage: Eukaryota; Ciliophora; Litostomatea; Haptorida; Spathidiidae. The record is from RNAcentral.
AAAUUUUCAACGAUGGAUGUCUUGGCUCCCAUAUCGAUGAAGAACGCAGCAAGAAUGCGAUAUGCAAUGUGAAUUGCAGAACCACGAAUCAUCGGAUCUUUGAACGCAACUGGCGCUGUAUAAAAAACAGCAUGCUUGUUUCAGUGUGCGC